This 1041-nucleotide long non-coding RNA is filed under the name Serinus canaria (Common canary). Its description in RNAcentral is "lncRNA (ENSSCAG00000009926.1)". Lineage: Eukaryota; Metazoa; Chordata; Aves; Passeriformes; Fringillidae. The record is from RNAcentral.
GGGUUUGGGCAGAGCUGGGGCUUUCCCCAGCCCCAUCCCAGGCUGCUCCACACCUUCUCCAGCUUUGGGGGGUCCCUGCUCCGGCAGAGCCCCCUCUGUGUCCCAGGGGCAGAUUUCUGCCCGGACACUCCUUCCCUGUCCCCGGCUCUCCCACGGGCACACCUCAGCCCUCCUGCCCUCCGCUUGCUCCGGGGCCACUUUGGGCAGCCCUGGUGCGUUUUCCAUUCCCGGAGAACGCUGAGAAUCCCCCUCAGUGCCGCCCUUCCCAGGGCAGAUUCCUGCUCUGGAGCUGGGGUCUCCCCGCGUUCCCCCAGCCCUGAGCUCUCCCUGUGCGCUCCCGGCCCCGCUCCGGCUCCUUCCAGGGCCCGGCUCGGGCUCGGGCUCGGGCUGGCUGCUCCCCUCUUCCAGCGCCCUGUCCGGGCUCUCUGGGGUCCCUCCGUCCUCCCGGGGAGCGAUCGCCUCCUGGCGCAGCAAGGCUCCCCUUCCUGCCGGCAUUCCGAGCCAUCGGGGCGGACAAACCUCAGCCCCGCUGCUCGGGGUGGGCUUUGCGGGUCGCUGCUCCUCCUCCGGGUGGUCCCGGGGCUGGAAGGUCCUGCCGGUCCUCUCGAGCUCCUCAAGUGUCACUUCCUCCGCUGUGACCUCAGCAACGUCCUCCCCCAGAUCCACUGCCGGAGCUUCGUCCCCUUCCUGGGGCUGUCCCCGUGCCACCUCCGGGGGACAUUCAGCUCCUUGGUGUCCCGCGCCGGGUGGCUUCAGACCAGUCCCCGCGUCCCCUCGGGCAGCGCUGGGCUCCUCCGCCGCUUUGUCCCCAUCGCCUGUCCCCGCGGCCAGGCUGUCCCAUUGUCCUCCUGUCCCGCUGUCGCCCCAGUCCGCGGCCUCCCCGGGGGUGGCGGCGUUGUUGUUGUGCUGGAGGGCGGCGGCCUCGAGGCUCUGCCCGCUUCCCUCGGGGCUGACCCCCCCCAGGGACACGGCCGAGGCCUCUGCCAGGCCGGGCUUCUCCCUCCUGCUGCUGCCCCUCUUCCUGAGGCUCCCCUCGCUUUU